CAUAUAGUGAAAUGGACGACGAAUGUUUUACACAAUUUAUAAAAUUCCUGUUCAUUGAACCGAAUGUCGUAAACAAAACUGAAUAAACUACAUAUACCUUCUCACUGAAACGGAAAAGGAAUAGCUCUCUAUUUAGCAAAUAUCUGCGUUCAAAUUGCCGGAAGUACAUUUGUCCGAAGAGAGAUAUAAAAGGAGAAUACGAUGGAACCAAGGGGAUCCCAGAUAUCAUAUGAUAUCAGUACGCCCGCGUUAGACAACCGUAUGGAAACGAUGCUGGGCCUACAUGGGUUUGAAGAUCCUGAUGCUCCACUUACAACAGUCGAUAAAAUCAACUUUGGCAUACUUAUAACGAUUCUAUAUGCAUCAUUUAUUGUUUCGGUUGUUCUCACUUCUGUCUAUAAUAGUUAAUUCACCCAUUUAUUAUUUUGUUAAAUACAUUGUUCAUAUAAGCUUGAUUAAAUAUCUCAUAUUGUAA
Ruditapes philippinarum (Manila clam) is the source of this 475-nucleotide long non-coding RNA. RefSeq lists it as uncharacterized. The transcript is spliced from 3 exons. The record is from RefSeq and is a predicted model, not a curated record. NCBI's taxonomy places the organism in Eukaryota, Metazoa, Mollusca, Bivalvia, Venerida, Veneridae.